RNAcentral lists this unclassified non-coding RNA (253 nucleotides) under uncultured Verrucomicrobiota bacterium. Its description in RNAcentral is "uncultured Verrucomicrobia bacterium contains 16S-23S intergenic spacer region". It matches the Rfam family "Bacterial small subunit ribosomal RNA", at positions 524 to 776 of the family's 1533-position model. The record is from RNAcentral. Lineage: Bacteria; Pseudomonadati; Verrucomicrobiota.
UACGGAGACUGCGAGCGUUACUCGGAUUCACUGGGCGUAAAGGGUGCGUAGGCGGCAAGAUGUGUCAGGUGUGAAAUCCCGGAGCUCAACUUCGGAAUUGCGCCUGAAACUGUCUAGCUAGAGUAUCGGAGGGGUAAGCGGAAUUCCUAGUGUAGCGGUGAAAUGCGUAGAUAUUAGGAGGAACACCAAUGGCGAAGGCAGCUUACUGGACGAUUACUGACGCUGAGGCACGAAAGCGUGGGGAGCAAAACGG